AUUGAACGCUGGCGGCAGGCCUAACACAUGCAAGUCGAACGGUAACAGGAAGAAGCUUGCUUCUUUGCUGACGAGUGGCGGACUGGUGAGUAAUGUCUGGGAAACUGCCUGAUGGAGGGGGAUAACUACUGGAAACGGUAGCUAAUACCGCAUAACGUCGCAAGACCAAAAAGGGGGACCUUCGGGCCUCUUGCCAUCGGAUGUGCCCAGAUGGGAUUAGCUAGUAGGUGGGGUAACGGCUCACCUAGGCGACGAUCCCUAGCUGGUCUGAGAGGAUGACCAGCCACACUGGAACUGAGACACGGUCCAGACUCCUACGGGAGGCAGCAGUGGGGAAUAUUGCACAAUGGGCGCAAGCCUGACGCAGCCAUGCCGCGUGUAUGAAGAAGGCCUUCGGGUUGUAAAGUACUUUCAGCGGGGAGGAAGGGAGUAAAGUUAAUACCUUUGCUCAUUGACGUUACCCGCAGAAGAAGCACCGGCUAACUCCGUG
RNAcentral lists this ribosomal RNA (490 nucleotides) under uncultured bacterium. Its description in RNAcentral is "partial 16S ribosomal RNA". It matches the Rfam family "Bacterial small subunit ribosomal RNA", at positions 30 to 507 of the family's 1533-position model. The record is from RNAcentral.